This 374-nucleotide ribosomal RNA is filed under the name uncultured organism. Its description in RNAcentral is "partial 16S ribosomal RNA". It matches the Rfam family "Bacterial small subunit ribosomal RNA", at positions 527 to 896 of the family's 1533-position model. The record is from RNAcentral.
GUAGGUGGCAAGCGUUGUCCGGAAUUAUUGGGGCGUAAAGCGCGCGCAGGCGGUUCUUUAAGUCUGAUGUGAAAGCCCACGGGCUCAACCGUGGAGGGUCAUUGAAAACUGGAGAACUUGAGUACAGAAGAGGAAAGCGGAAUUCCACGUGUAGCGGUGAAAUGCGUAGAGAUGUGGAGGAACACCAGUGGCGAAGGCGGCUUUCUGGUCUGUAACUGACGCUGAGGCGCGAAAGCGUGGGGAGCAAACAGGAUUAGAUACCCUGGUAGUCCACGCCGUAAACGAUGAGUGCUAAGUGUUAGGGGGUUUCCGCCCCUUAGUGCUGCAGCUAACGCAUUAAGCACUCCGCCUGGGGAGUACGGCCGCAAAGGCUG